UCUUGACUAGUAUAUUGGUUAGUACACGCGCUUGUCAUGACCAUGUUCAUUCUUUCUAUCGCGCGAAAGCUGGGUUCGACUCCCAGGUCGAGAG
Molecule: non-coding RNA, 94 nt
Organism: Mycena galopus ATCC 62051
Lineage: Eukaryota; Fungi; Basidiomycota; Agaricomycetes; Agaricales; Mycenaceae
Source: the annotation of a GenBank genome assembly